UACGGAGGUUGCAAUCGUUAUCCGGAUUCACUGGGCUUAAAGGGUGCGUAGGCGGGGAGGUAAGUCAGGGGUGAAAUCCUAGAGCUUAACUCUAGAACUGCCGUUGAUACUAUCUGUCUUGAAUAUUGUGGAGGUGAGCGGAAUAUGUCAUGUAGCGGUGAAAUGCUUAGAUAUGACAUAGAACACCAAUUGCGAAGGCAGCUCGCUACACAUAUAUUGACUCUGAGGCACGAAAGCGUGGGGAUCAAACAGG
RNAcentral lists this ribosomal RNA (253 nucleotides) under uncultured bacterium. RNAcentral describes it as "partial 16S ribosomal RNA". It matches the Rfam family "Bacterial small subunit ribosomal RNA", at positions 524 to 776 of the family's 1533-position model. The record is from RNAcentral.